Saccostrea cuccullata (small rock oyster) is the source of this 627-nucleotide long non-coding RNA. RefSeq lists it as uncharacterized. The transcript is spliced from 3 exons. Lineage: Eukaryota; Metazoa; Mollusca; Bivalvia; Ostreida; Ostreidae. The record is from RefSeq and is a predicted model, not a curated record.
GUGGCGGCAUCAGCUGAGAUUUGCAGUGGAUUUAAAUGCAAUAACCACACAAUCUUUAAAGAAAAUAGGAAUAAAAUAAGAGACAAGGCAUUGCUUCUCCCUUUUACGAGAAUAUGAGGACAUUAAAUAGCAGAAAACAGACGAUUUGCACCAGAUCCGUAGAUCCAUCACUGCACUGUAAUUCGAGGCCAGCUGUUGUCCAGAGUUUCAGUCUUAAAGAAUGAACAAAUAAAAAAUGCAUCAUUUCUCCACAGGGCCUAGCCAUUCCUAACCGUAGGACAAAUGGAUACAUUCAGGCAGCAAGUUAAUCUACCAUUUAAGGAAAAUGGUAUGCUCAAUAUUAGCUAUAAACCAUGCAAAGUUUUGAUAAUAAAAAUAACAGAAGAAUUGAAAACAUGUAUAUGCACCUUAUUUUAAUUGUUUCAAUGCAUUUGUUUAUUUCAUUUUUUUUAAACACAAAUUACUUUCAAUAAUGGUAUUUCCUGAUUUUCUUAUAUUUUCAGAAUUCAUUUUAUCCACAAGAACAAGAAGUGAUGGAAAUAAUUUGCACCUGCCCAGCAUUCCUACAGUCUGUCAUUGGAUUUGAAAAGAAAUGUUUAUUAAAUAAAUUUUCUAGAUAAAUAAUAA